AGUGAACGCUGGCGGUAGGCCUAACACAUGCAAGUCGAACGGCAGCACAGAGGAGCUUGCUCCUUGGGUGGCGAGUGGCGGACGGGUGAGGAAUACAUCGGAAUCUACUCUGUCGUGGGGGAUAACGUAGGGAAACUUACGCUAAUACCGCAUACGACCUACGGGUGAAAGCAGGGGAUCUUCGGACCUUGCGCGAUUGAAUGAGCCGAUGUCGGAUUAGCUAGUUGGCGGGGUAAAGGCCCACCAAGGCGACGAUCCGUUGCUGGUCUGAGAGGAUGAUCAGCCACACUGGAACUGAGACACGGUCCAGACUCCUACGGGAGUCAGCAGUGGGGAAUAUUGGACAAUGGGCGCAAGCCUGAUCCAGCCAUACCGCGUGGGUGAAGAAGGCCUUCGGGUUGUAAAGCCCUUUUGUUGGGAAAGAAAUCCAUCUGGUUAAUACCCGGGUGGGAUGACGGUACCCAAAGAAUAAGCACCGGCUAACUUCGUGCCAGCCGCCGCAGUAA
RNAcentral lists this ribosomal RNA (506 nucleotides) under uncultured bacterium. Its description in RNAcentral is "partial 16S ribosomal RNA". It matches the Rfam family "Bacterial small subunit ribosomal RNA", at positions 29 to 523 of the family's 1533-position model. The record is from RNAcentral.